GACGAACGCUGGCGGCGUGCUUAACACAUGCGAGUCGAACGGAAAGGCCCUGCUUUUGUGGGGUGCUCGAGUGGCGAACGGGUGAGUAACACGUGAGUAACCUGCCCUUGACUUUGGGAUAACUUCAGGAAACUGGGGCUAAUACCGGAUAGGAGCUCCUGCUGCAUGGUGGGGGUUGGAAAGUUUCGGCGGUUGGGGAUGGACUCGCGGCUUAUCAGCUUGUUGGUGGGGUAGUGGCUUACCAAGGCUUUGACGGGUAGCCGGCCUGAGAGGGUGACCGGCCACAUUGGGACUGAGAUACCGCCCAGACUCCUACGGGAGGCAGCAGGGGGGAAUAUUGCACAAUGGGCGGAAGCCUGAUGCAGCAACGCCGCGUGCGGGAUGACGGCCUUCGGGUUGUAAACCGCUUUCGCCUGUGACGAAGCGUGAGUUACGGUAAUGGGUAAAGAAGCACCGGCUAACUACGUG
This 468-nucleotide ribosomal RNA is filed under the name uncultured bacterium. RNAcentral describes it as "partial 16S ribosomal RNA". It matches the Rfam family "Bacterial small subunit ribosomal RNA", at positions 28 to 507 of the family's 1533-position model. The record is from RNAcentral.